CAUGACAUGGUCCAAUCUUAGUUUCAGAGACUGAACGGAGGACGAACUGGAGGGCACAACCUCCCCAGCGGACAAUGGCCAUGGUCCGUAUGUGAGGUGAUGAAGACCCGCACCAGGGAGGCAGCAGUGUCUGUGGAGAGGCUGCAGUGGUGACCUCGAUGGGCCUUGGCACCAGCUUGGAUCUGGGGCCACAAGCAUGCUGGGAGGCCUCAUCCCCUCUCCCAGACACUGCAGUGUCUUCUCCUGGACAACCUGUCCCCAGAGCUUCCUUUUCCAAGGUCCCUCCACACAGACGGCCACAAAGCCCUCUCCAGCAAGCACCGGUCCUACCUGGCAGAGGAAGCGGCCUGGCGUCUGAUCACCUCAAGAGCAUCGGGCCCAGACCCCUCCAAGCAGCCAGACCGGCUUCCUUCCCUGCACUAUCCUCAAGGGCUACUCUUGGAAUUCUGGACCCAGGGCAGCGGGGUGACCCUCUAAGAGCUCCGCAAAAUGAGGUCCUGAUCUUCACACCCCCAACUUCAAGGGGAGGUCUGAGGAAACGGCUUUGAGAGCCCUGGAAUGCUGCAGAAACCACAGUUACAGUCAUGACGGAGAUAAAAAAGUGAAAACCAGAGCAGGAUCCUCCUUGGCCAGCUCUCCAGGAAUCACACCAGCCUGCCUGAAGGGGUUAUCUCACUGACCAAGCAUCACCCAGGAGAAGAAACAGCAGAGCUGGAAACAAGGAGGGAUGAGCUCGGGACGAGCGCAUCAGCCCAGCGUCCUUUUCCCGUCGCAGCGUCCGAGAGCCUUUCCGUUUGCCGUGGGGCGCUGCUGGGCUGCGGCGGCGUCUGAUUCCCGCGGCGGCGGCCGCCCCGGGGCCCAGGGCUCUGCCCGCCAGCGCUCCGCAGGGUGAGAAGAGGAGCUGAGCACACCCUGAGAGACCCACAGAGUGGAGACCGGCCAACGGGGCAGGACUGAGAGCUGAGAGAACCCCAUCCGAGGAGAGUCUGCAGCCUUCACAUAAAUGGACCAAAUCAACGGGCCUGCCGAUGUCUGCGGAGACCAGGUCACCUCAUUUUUCUAUGAAACCCCUUACGUCUCAGCAACACAGGCCAAGAGGAAGCUCCAAUCGGAUUUAUUUUAUUUAAUGAUCCGGAGGAAGGGCACGGCGAAUAUAAUUCAAUUCUACAGACGAGGAUUGAGUGCCUCAUUGGUACAGGGCACUCUGGGAAGCAGCAGAGUGGCCCGCCAAUGAAAGUCCGUCACAGGGAGCCGUCCCUCCGCCAGAUCUCCUCCUGCAGUGCCGUCUAUUCCCCCAGACACCGCCAUUGGCUCACGCCCUCUGCGAGAUAUUUGGGAGACAGGGGGGAAAGCAAAGGGGUUGCUCCCGAGGACACUGACACCCUCGUGUGUGUGAGCGCACACACACACACAUACACACAUAAAAAGUAAAUGUAAAGGAACUUCCAAGUGCCGGCGGCAGGGGAUCAGGACGGGCCUCGUGGACAAACAAGGUGGUGCUUUGGGGCCAGAUGGAGAGAGGAGACAGCAGUCUGCCACCCUGGUGGCUGGUCGGGCCAGGCCCCAGAGGUCCUCCAUGGGAGGAGCCCAGAGCCACACUGGCCAGGAGGUCAGAUUCAAUCCUAGAGAGGCCAGGGAACCACUGGGCCUUCCUACCUAAGCAGGUCAAUGCUGAGACAACCGGCAAACAUUCCUGGCAAACCCUGUGCUUGCCACCGUGUGAGGGCACUCGAGGGACGUAGAGAGCCCCAGAAGAGGAGAGAUGGCGUGGGGUCACAGGAAUGGAGAGGAGGGCCCAACGGGCCAGGAUACGACCAUCCUGACGCAGGAGUACAAGGGACAUCAAGGUGGGAAUGGGCUCUGCCUCACUACCUGUGGGUGAUGGCGGUCUGUAAAAAGGCUUUUGGUUUUCUUUUUUUUUCCUGGUAGGGAAGGAGGCAAGGACAAAAAACAAAUGAUUAUCCAUUUUUUGAAAACUCUUAAUGUAAAGGGGCUUUAGAAACCUUUAAAAGAAAUGUCCCAGGUCCAGAUAAGACGUUAGCUGGGACUUCAGAGAAGUCUACAGGGAAGGGAGAGCAUUGCAGACAUGGGGAUGGCCAGAGAAAAUGCCCAGAGCUGAGAGCGGGAGGGUCUUGUCCCUGGAACAUCCAGGAGGCCGGGGUCCUGGAUCAAAGAGCAUGGGUCAGGGAGUGAGGGGUGAGAAGACUGGAAAGACUCUGAAGGCCAAACGGUGCGUUUUGUACAUGAUCCUGGCAGCAAUAGGGAGCCACAGGAGUUUACUGAGGAGGAGUGUGGCAUGACCAGGCCUGUGCUUUAGGAAAAUCCCUUUGGUGGCUGAGUGGAAGUGGACCGGAGUGGGGAGAGACUUGAGGAAGGCAGACCCGCUAGCAGGCCACGGCAACAGGGCCUGCACCCGAGUGGGGGCAGCAUCAGCGGCACACACAGGAGGGAGGGGCAAAAGAGAGAUGUUGGGGAAAGUGAAAUCUCCACAGGACUUGGCAGCAGCUUGGAUAUGGUGGGGGAAGAUGGGGAGAGAUAGUGAGGAGCCCAGGAUGAGGCCUGGGUUCGGAGCCCCAGGGACCGGGAGGAUGGUGAUGCCCUAGACACCCACCGGGAAGGCAGGAGAGGGAGAGGAUUUGGGUCUGUUUUGGACAUACCGAGUCUAAGAAGUCUCCUGGAAAUCCAGUGGGAGAGAGAGGUCUGAAAGGCAGUUGGAGAUUGGAGACUGGGGGUCAGCAGAGAGGCUGGGGCAGGAAAGGGAGAUUUCAGAAUCAGAGGAGCUGGUGAGAUCACCCCGUGAAGUGGUAGAGAGGGAGGAGAGCUGAGGAACACCUAGGGUUGGAGGGAGCUAGAGAAGGAGCGUCCGAGAGGAAGGAGGAGAGCCAGCAGGGCACGGUGCUAAAAACCCAGAAAGAAGAGAGGAUCCAAGAGACAGUGACCAGCAGCGUCCAAGGCUGCAGAGGUGGAGAAUGAGCACUAGGAGAACACCACCGGAUUUGACCAUUAGGGGAUCUGGGUAAUUUUGGCAGUUUCAGCAAAAUGAUGAGGUCAGAAACCAGACACCUUAGGGCUGAGAAGAGUGUGAGAGGAGAGAAAGCAGAGGCACCUGUUAUAACCGGCCUUUCUGAGGGCGGGGAGACCCAGGGCCAGUCACUGGGAACAAGAGGAUCAAGGAGGGCUCUGUGAGGACGGUGAAGACAUGGCUGUGUUUGCAGAUUGUAGGGAAUGAGCCAGAAGGCAAAGAGAGAUUGAAAAUAAGUGAGUGUGGGGACAGCUAGGUGGCGCAGUGGAUAGAGUGCUGGCCCUGGAUUCUGGAGGACCUGAGUUCA
Molecule: long non-coding RNA, 3329 nt
Organism: Dromiciops gliroides (monito del monte)
Lineage: Eukaryota; Metazoa; Chordata; Mammalia; Microbiotheria; Microbiotheriidae
Exons: 5
Source: RefSeq, a predicted model, not a curated record